RNAcentral lists this ribosomal RNA (497 nucleotides) under uncultured bacterium. Its description in RNAcentral is "partial 16S ribosomal RNA". It matches the Rfam family "Bacterial small subunit ribosomal RNA", at positions 28 to 507 of the family's 1533-position model. The record is from RNAcentral.
GAUGAACGCUGGCGGCGUGCCUAAUACAUGCAAGUCGAGCGAACAGACGAGGAGCUUGCUCCUCUGAUGUUAGCGGCGGACGGGUGAGUAACACGUGGAUAACCUACCUAUAAGACUGGGAUAACUUCGGGAAACCGGAGCUAAUACCGGAUAACAUGUUGAACCGCAUGGUUCAACAGUGAAAGACGGUCUUGCUGUCACUUAUAGAUGGAUCCGCGCCGCAUUAGCUAGUUGGUAAGGUAACGGCUUACCAAGGCAACGAUGCGUAGCCGACCUGAGAGGGUGAUCGGCCACACUGGAACUGAGACACGGUCCAGACUCCUACGGGAGGCAGCAGUAGGGAAUCUUCCGCAAUGGGCGAAAGCCUGACGGAGCAACGCCGCGGGAGUGAAGAAGGUCUUCGGAUCGUAAAACUCUGUUAUUAGGGAAGAACAAAUGUGUAAGUAACUAUGCACGUCUUGACGGUACCUAAUCAGAAAGCCACGGCUAACUACGUG